Non-coding RNA from Heterocephalus glaber (naked mole-rat), 7034 nucleotides. The record is from RefSeq and is a predicted model, not a curated record. NCBI's taxonomy places the organism in Eukaryota, Metazoa, Chordata, Mammalia, Rodentia, Bathyergidae.
GUCCAUGUGGAAGGGGUGCCCUGGGCAGAGGCAGAACUCCAGAAAACAGUGUAUGGAAAACUGCCUGCUCUGAGCAGGAGGCUGAGGAAGAGAAGAGGCCAACAGAAUGAGACAGGAGAGCCCAGUACUUCCCAAAAGGGAUCGAACUUGGGACCUUGUGCUUGCAAGGCAGGCAGUGGAACUAUUUAGCUAAAUCCCCGGCCCCAGAUGCAACUUUUUGAUGCAAGAUUUGAAGUGGCUCAAAAAAUACCACACAAGGAAAGAAAAUAUUCCAUCAUGUGCCUUUCGGGACAGAGAAGCUUUUCAAAGAAAAUUCUCAUCUGCAACAGAUUUUACUAGGCUCUUUUCCAAACCAGCCCUCUAAAUCAGUUUUAAUACUUUUUAGUGAAGAGAGAUUCAACAAUAACUACCUUUAUUCACCUACAGAAGCAUAUUUUAGAAACAUCCUAGCAAGUGCUUAAAAACAAUAAUCGUUUUAUGCCCCAUAUGGUCUUCACAGAGCCCAUUACCAGGUGCUCCAGAAAGAGCAAAAACACCAAAAUGUUCCUAAAUAUACAACUUCAGCUUGCUCACUUCUUCUGGGAACUUCUUCGGGGCCCCAAUGGCUGUCUAUCUUGUAGCCUGUAAAAUGAAGCAGGUGUUCACCUAACCAGCUCUAGUUAUAGAGCUCUUGUCCAGCAAUUACCUCAAUGCACGUGAAAUUUGGAUUUUUAGAAAUCACACUUCCAACUCUGUUACAUAAAAUAUCUUGGCACAAGGUUCAGUUUUGCCUCUUUUUGUGGUCUGAUAUAUGCCCAUGCUCGACUACAAUCUAAAGCUAACAUAACUCUGUAGUGAGACUAAAUGCCAUUUCUUCAGAGUGUGAGAAGAAAAGACAUUUUCAUCUCCUGCUUCAGAAGAAAACCUAUCAAGUGCUAAGUGCAUGAACGAACAAUGAAAGCACAAUCUUGUGAGUGUUUUCUGAUAGUUAAUUGGUUGGCUGAAAAAAAUAAAUGAAAAGUGUCUAGUGAAUACCUCAAGCUCAAUUAGGAAAAUUUUCUGAAAGUGCUUAUUCCAAUAGACUUCCUAAAGAAAGUAUUUUUUUUUUGCUCAAAUGAAGGAGACAGCUGUGUGAAGUUUUUUUCUUGGUACUGGGGAUUGAACUCAGGGCCUUUGCACGGAGCUACAACCCCACACACUUUUUUAGUUUUUAUUUUCAAAUAUGGCCUCACUAAUUUGCUGAGGCUGGGCUUGAACUUGUGAUUCUCCUGCUUCACCCCCCAAGAGUGCUGGGAUUAUAGGUGUGUACCCCCACACCGAGCUUGUUAAUUUUAUAUUUCUAUACUUCCUGCCAUGACCAAGAUAUGGCAGGUGUUCAGUAACAGUUGAACUAAAUCAACUGUUGAAAAUUGGUGAAGUAUAUGCAAAGGAAAUUAAAUCAUCUCAUCAAAAAGGUAUAUGCAUUCUUAUGCUUACUGCAGCAGUGUGCAUCAUAGUCAAAAUGUGAAAUCAACCAAGAUAUCUGUUAACAGAUGGGUAAAGAAUGGAUAAAGAAAAUGUGGUAUUCAUACACAAAUGGAAUAUUAUUCAACCAUAACAAGGAAUGAAAUCUUGUCAUUUGCAGCAAAAUGGAUGGACUUGGGUGACAUGAUAGUAAAUAAAAUAAGACAGAUACAGAAAGACAAAUACUACAAGUUCACAUUUAAAAGGUAAUUUGAAAAUAGAAUGGAAAUUACUGGAGGCUGGGGAAGACAUGGAGAGGUGGGUAGAAGGAGUUUGGAUAACAAGAACCCAAACACAGUUAGGUAGAAGGACAGCUCUAGUGUUCUGCAGCAUAGUAGGUUGACUAUAGUUCACAGAAACCAAAAAUAUAUUUUACGAAGAACUAGGAGAAAUGGCAGCCCAAAGUCUUCCAACGUAAUGAAAUGAUAAGGUGGUGGAAAUCCAAGUAUCCUGAUUUGAUCAGUAUACAUGAUCAGUAUACAUGAUUUGAUACUGUAUACAUGUACUGAAAUAACCUACUGUACCUUAUAAAUAUGUACAAUUAUUACCUGUUGAUUAACAGAAAAAAAUUAAAUUAAAAAAAAAGAAUUAGCAGAAAUCUAAUUUUGUACACUUUGCCUGAAAAGCAAGAACAUGGUCUCUGGAGCCAAGCAUGCCUCAGUUCAAAAUCUGUCUCUACUGUUUACCUGCCCUAAGCCGGGGCAGUGUAACCACAGUUCAUCUGCUGGUCCUCGUAGAACACCACAGAUAGCACAGGCUGGUGACUCAGCACAGUGGAAAGGAGGCUGUGAUUAUGAGGCCCUCAAAUGAAACCUUGACCAUCAUCAUCAUUGGAAAAUGAGUUUUCACCUAGGAAUCCCACUCAAUUCCUCUCUGCGAUUCUGUUAGUUCAUGUUUAUUUCUAAAAACUUCAUUCAAUUUCAUGCUUUAGGUAAAGUAGGGAACCUACCAGUUUUUUUCUGAUGUUGGAUGAAUCCUGAAGUAGUUGUUUUUUUCUAAAUAUCGGGUGGAAUUACUGGGUAUAUGCUAAUAUAAAAAUAUAAGAAACUGGCUAAAUGGAUAUUGGACCCAACACAUUCUGAGAAAUAUUUUAUUGCUGAUUUUUCAAAAGCCAUGAUAUAAAUUUGUUUCCUUAGGAGUACCUGACUUCUUUCUCCUAAAAAACUGCAGAAAAUGUUUAAAUAGGUCAUCCUAUUGGUUAAUGUGGUAACCAUAGUCAACACACCUGCCUGACACACAGCACUUGGGAAUGUGGCACUGGAAACCAGGCUUCCACCUGCCCAGGUGUCUAAGAAGAAACAGAGAAGGUGGGUGGCACAGGCAUCAGCCACCGCCACAAAUCACUGGGCAAUCCCCAAAGACAUGAACUGUGGAGAGGACUGUCAUCACACACUGGCCUUCUCAGUGACAGCACACUCGGGUGCACACAGGGCGCUUUGUGGGCCAUCCAGGGAGCAUCCUUGAAUCACCAAGGACAGAAUGCUGGCAGAGGGAGUCAGCAAGCAACUACUGCAUCCAUGAGCUGGGCUGGGAGGAUGAAAGGCUCAGCGGCAGCUGAGAGGGAAAAGGUCCUGCUGCAGAGCCCUCAGGAAAGCUUCACCACCUUGUCACUUUCAGAAAGCUCUGCCAAUGCUAGUGAGGAAUGUGUGCUCGCCCCAGAGUCCCUCACUACUUGACAUAGAGUUGCUGAUUUCACUGUCAUCAGAGACCUGAUGAACUACAACACCCAAUCUUGCUCAGCAUCAACAAGAACAACGGACAUCCUGGGAGGCCUGGGAGCCUGGAUUUCUGAUGGGGGAAUCUAAAAUACUUCUUGUACCAUGGAACAUUAGUGAUGUUUUGAAAUCAAAGAAUGAAGACAUUUCUCCAGCUCAGAGUAUUAAGGAUGCUUCUUGUGAUUUGGAAUGAGCAGGCCUGAUGACUUCUGGGCUCUUCCCUCCUAGCUUCAUUACAAUUCCCUGGAAAAGACCUGGCCUAGGGCCCUGUGUGUCUUUGCUCCAGCAGCCCAACACUAGGAAGCAGAGCUUUAAGACAUGGGACUACAGGAAAGCUCUGGAAACCCAGGAGAACCUUCUGUCUCCACUGAGAAAGGCCCCGAAGAAAGCCCAGCUUCCUGGCCACACCUCACUUGGUGCUGGAGUCACCAAAGUCUCUCUUCCUGCCCCACGGUGCCUUCCCUGACACCAGGCUGUCUCCACACCUAUGACCCCCAGGCCUGCCUGUCAUCAUGUGAGCUGGGGAAAGCCACGUUGCCACCCAUUUUUUUGGAUUGUUUCCUAAUGUUCAUGAUUCCUGGCCACUGAGAAGUGCUUCCGGGGACUGGACUUGCAGAGGGGCAGAAGAGGGAGGAGAGGAAAGUGAUAUGGAGAUUGCUGACAGAGUGGAAAGGCAGUGGGAGUUCACCUUCCUUCCCUCCGCUCUCCAGGCCCCGGCACCAGGGUCAGCAGUUCAUGCAGAAGAUAUCAGGAUUCUUUGGAGCAAUUUAUGCUCCCAAAUCCGCACUGACAGCCCAGGCCAAAUUGCCUUCCUAUGUGAAGGUCAUUUGCUCUGUCAAGCACUUGACAAUUGCUCAAAGGGAAAUGAGGGAAUUGUUUUGUAUAAAUGAGUCAACUUCUCUUGAAUUCACACCACUUGCGAUGGACCAUGCCAUGACAGUCAGGGACAAGAUUAUUGCUGAGCUUUCAGUCUUACAAAGGUGAGAAAGAAACCAGACAACAGCUCAAUGGCUGCAUAUUUGGACCUAAAGCUGUGUGAAUCUGCUCUGGAAGGCACUACAUCCUGCACUGCAGCUGCAAUUGGAGCAGGGAGACAGCGGGUGUGGUGAAAGGUGCGUCUGGAAAUGCAGAACUCCUGAGGAUGUGGAGCAUGUGGCCUCACAAAAGCAGAACUUCCUGCAUCACGGUCUCUUUCCAAGGUUUAGCAAUUACGAAUUGUGCUGCUAUAAACACAGGUCUCUUAAAGUUUCUGGCUGAAAACCAAAGGACUUAAAGGAAAAAUGGCUGUGUGAAAGCUAAUGGCAAGCAGCAGAUUCCGGUCCAACUCUCCUCCUGACAAUUGCCGACGGCCUUUCAAGGGAUCGUCUCCCACUAGGUCCCCAUGAGGCACUUGAGAUGCUCUGACACCAGGUGAAGGACUUGUUCCCCUGCUACUGCAGUGCAGCCUGCAGAGCCCCAGCUCUUGGCUACCAGAGGCCUCCCCUCCUUCCUGGAGAAGGCAGCAGCCAGUGGCUCACUGAUAUGGAAGACUAAGGGCUAGAUCACUUCACCACCUCUGGGACAACACAGAGAAUGAGUCAAGGACCAUGGAGGCUACAUUGCAGCUCCAUGCCACUUCCUCCUUCCUCUCCUUUCCUUCUCUUCCUAUCCAUCCCCAGGUGAUGACCACAAUGCUCCAUCCAGAGGCAAGAACAACUGGACCAGAGUGAGCUGACUGGAGAUGAGGGGGUUUGGGUUCAAACCCUGAUGAAUUCAGCUCAACCAGUGAAUUACCAUUUGUAUGCCAUUUAUAAUAUACGCCAUUUAUACUGGGUUCUACUGACACUAUACCCUAAAGCGGUAAGCGAUAUUUGCUCCUUAUUUUACAAAGACUUCAACAAGAGACAAAAGAUGACUCAAACUCAGAUAAAAGUAGUCAAAAGUCUAAAGGUACCAUUGUAAGAUCAAACAUAUCCUCAUAUCCUCAGAAAAGCAGGGCAAGGCUGACCCGAAGUCAAGAUGUGGGGAUUUUAUCUGAGUCACUUAACCCAGUUAGUCAUUAACUGAGUUUGCCAAAUGAGCCUAAACUAUCUCCCUAAUAGAAACAAUAGGAAUCACAUGUUAGACUUGAGCAAAUGUGGUUGUUUGAACUCCAACUGGACUUUUCCUGAAUCUUUGAAGACUCCUAAUCAUAUUUGGCCAGGGAGGCAUACAUAAUUGUCUUUUUUUGUACUGGGGAUCGAACUCAGGACCUUGCGCUUGUGAGGCAGGUGGCAGCACCACUGAGCUAAAUCCUCAGCUCCGUAAUUUUUUAUAACAGUACUUCAUAUGUUUAGCUAUGUCACUAAAGUUCACAUCAAGAACAGACACCUUGGCUGGAUUUUUCAACCUGGCCUGUGAAAGCCUGCAGCACCCACCCCUGCCAGAUAUUGGUGCAUUCACAGUGUUUAGAAAGCCCCAGGAAUGAAGGUGCAUCCAGCUCACUUUUCACAUCAAGGGACACAUACACACGCACGCACGCGCACAACAUCCACAGGUCAAAAGGAACCAGGAAAAGGGAAAAAAAACACUUUAUUCACAAAAUGUAUUUUUAAACAUCAUUUUUCCUGUGCAGCUGUCUGGCCUGAUUCCAUCAUGAAAAGCAAAUGUUUAAAACAGUAUACUAAUUAAAAAUAAAUUAUUUUAAAAAUUGACCUCUGGAUCAAAAUGUGUUAGUAUUAGAAAGGAUCUUAAAAUUCAUUUUAUAAAACAUUUUGUGUAUGUAGAUAAAGAAAUGGCACUAGAUAGGUGCAUUGCUGGUUAGGGUUGAACCUUGGCUUUGCUGACACAAGGACUCUGCUAUAAUCGCAGUUAUGACAUUCUGUGACAAUUACCUCACUUGAGAAUUCCCAGGCUCUUCCUUAAGUAGAAAAGAUGUUAUCUCCUCCAGGUAAUGCCAAAAAUAUUAGGUGCCUUGCUUGACAUUUCACAGCUAAUAAGCUCACGUUAUUGCUUAAAAUUUUUCAAUGGUUCUUACAUUUUGAGAUCAAAGGCUUCCUGGCCCCACCUUCUCACAGGCUCCGCCUUCUCCCUGGCUCCACCUCCUGAAGGCUCCACCUCCUCCUGGUCUCUCGGUGUCUGAGGUGAAAUGUCUUCUCCCCGGGAAGCUGCCGGGCAGGCAGGAGUCCCAGCACUACUGGUAACUAUGCAAAAUGAGCCCUGUGAACCCCUGACAUUAGGUUGCUUCUAUGAAAUGCAAAGCCUGUGCUAAUCCACUUCUAGGACUGCAUCUGAAGAUCUGGUUUGGGCUCAUGAUAGGCACAGAGGUAAGGGAACUGCAUGAUUCUGACAGGACUCACAUGCCAGGACUCCAAUAAAGGAAAGUUCCUGACCUUGAAUGAGCUGAGCAUUAGCAAGUGUCUCAUGGGUGCAGCUGAAAUACGUUACACUAUGGAACCCUUCAUUAAGGGUCAGGUUCCAGAGGUGUAUGUCUGUGGCAUCUUCUCAAAUACUUCAUGUGAGUAGGUGGCUCAGCCCCCAUAUUGUGAGCUCUGAAGCACUUUCUGCUCAAACCUGUGGCCUCAAGGUUGGUCCCUGAAUCCCACUAGGUGACAGCUAGGAAGAUUUUAAAUGGAGAAGAGGAGCAAAACGCUAAAACACAAGUUUUAUUUUUAAUUUUUUUUUUUAAGACAGGGUCUCACUACAUAGUUCAGGCUAGCCUUGAACUCACUAUGUAGCCCAGGCUAGUCUCGAACUCACAGCGAUCCUCCUGCCUCAGUCUCCAGAGUGCUAGAAUUAUAGGCGUGCACCACCCUGCUCUGCUUCAAGUUUUGUUUCUAAGAAAUUGUUACCAGCUGAUUAAAAUAUAUAUAAAGCGUU